GGGACCUAAGGCGAGGCCGACAGGCGUAGUCGAUGGACAUCCGGUUGAUAUUCCGGAACCGGCGAAGAACCGCCCAUGACGAACCUAGUGAUGCUAAACGCCCAAAGCUGUUGUCCAAGACCUUCGGGUUGAGGGUUUCAGUGGAGCGCGUGACCCGAUCUAGUAGUAGUCAAGCGAUGGAGAGACGCAGGAAGGUAGCCUCCGCGUGGCGAUGGUAGUCCACGUCCAAGGGUGUAGGGCGAGCUGUAGGCAAAUCCGCAGCUCACAUAGCCUGAGACCUGAUAGUGACCGCGUAUGCGGGAAGCAGGGUGAUCCUAUGCUGCCAAGAAAAUCUUCUAGCGAGGUUCGAGCCGCCCGUACCCCAAACCGACUCAGGUGGUUAGGUAGAGAAUACCAAGGCGAUCGAGUGAAUCGUGGUUAAGGAAUUCGGCAAAAUACCCCCGUAACUUCGGGAGAAGGGGGGCCCAGAGGGUGAAGGCACUUGCUGCCUAGCCUGAACGGCCGCAGAGACCAGGGAGAAGCGACUGUUUACUAAAAACACAGGUCCGUGCGAAGUCGCAAGACGAUGUAUACGGACUGACGCCUGCCCGGUGCUGGAAGGUUAAGAGGACCGGUUAGUUCUUCGGAGCGAAGCUGAGAAUUUAAGCCCCAGUAAACGGCGGUGGUAACUAUAACC
This 676-nucleotide ribosomal RNA is filed under the name Salmonella enterica. RNAcentral describes it as "partial 23S ribosomal RNA". It matches the Rfam family "Bacterial large subunit ribosomal RNA", at positions 1386 to 1947 of the family's 2925-position model. The record is from RNAcentral. Lineage: Bacteria; Pseudomonadati; Pseudomonadota; Gammaproteobacteria; Enterobacterales; Enterobacteriaceae.